GGGCCCGCACAAGCGGUGGAGCAUGUGGCUUAAUUCGAUGCAACGCGAAGAACCUUACCAAGGCUUGACAUGCACUUGCACGGCCUAUGAAAGUAGGCCUCCUUCGAGGGUAGUGCACAGGUGCUGCAUGGCUGUCGUCAGCUCGUGCCGUGAGGUGUUUGGUUAAGUCCAGCAACGAGCGCAACCCUUGUGAAUAGUUGCUCGCCCUUUGGGCAGCACUCUAUUCAGACUGCCUGUGAUAAGCAGGAGGAAGGUGGGGAUGACGUCAAGUCCGUAUGGCCUUUAUGCCUUGGGCUGCACACGUGCUACAAUGAACGGUACAGAAAGAAGCAAGACCGCGAGGUGGAGCUAAUCUCCAAAACCGUUCCCAGUUCAGAUUGGAGUCUGCAACUCGACUCCAUGAAGCCGGAAUCGCUAGUAAUGGCGCAUCAGCUACGGCGCCGUGAAUACGUUCCCGGGCCUU
RNAcentral lists this ribosomal RNA (463 nucleotides) under uncultured bacterium. Its description in RNAcentral is "bacterial SSU rRNA". It matches the Rfam family "Bacterial small subunit ribosomal RNA", at positions 917 to 1382 of the family's 1533-position model. The record is from RNAcentral.